UACGAAGGGUGCAAGCGUUGCUCGGAAUUAUUGGGCGUAAAGGGUAGGUAGGUGGUGACAAAAGUCCGAGGUGAAAUCCCUGAGCUCAACUCAGGACGUGCCUUGGAAACUUUGUCACUAGAGUGCUAGAGAGGUUCGUGGAAUUCCAGGUGUAGCGGUGAAAUGCGUAGAGAUCUGGAGGAACAUCAGAGGCGAAGGCGACGAACUGGAUAGAUACUGACACUGAACUACGAAAGCGUGGGGAGCAAACAGG
RNAcentral lists this ribosomal RNA (253 nucleotides) under uncultured bacterium. RNAcentral describes it as "partial 16S ribosomal RNA". It matches the Rfam family "Bacterial small subunit ribosomal RNA", at positions 524 to 776 of the family's 1533-position model. The record is from RNAcentral.